UUAGUUAUAGUUUAACUGGUAAAAAUAAAAGAUUGUGAUUCUUUAGAUGAAGGUUCAAAUCCUUCUAACUUUAAG
RNAcentral lists this transfer RNA (75 nucleotides) under Mitosporidium daphniae. RNAcentral describes it as "tRNA-His". It matches the Rfam family "tRNA". Rfam says of the family: Transfer RNA (tRNA) molecules are approximately 80 nucleotides in length. Their secondary structure includes four short double-helical elements and three loops (D, anti-codon, and T loops). Further hydrogen bonds mediate the characteristic L-shaped molecular structure. tRNAs have two regions of fundamental functional importance: the anti-codon, which is responsible for specific mRNA codon recognition, and the 3' end, to which the tRNAs corresponding amino acid is attached (by aminoacyl-tRNA synthetases). tRNAs cope with the degeneracy of the genetic code in two manners: having more than one tRNA (with a specific anti-codon) for a particular amino acid; and 'wobble' base-pairing, i.e. permitting non-standard base-pairing at the 3rd anti-codon position. The record is from RNAcentral. Lineage: Eukaryota; Fungi; Microsporidia.